AGUGAACGCUGGCGGUAGGCCUAACACAUGCAAGUCGAACGGCAGCACAGUAAGAGCUUGCUCUUACGGGUGGCGAGUGGCGGACGGGUGAGGCAUACAUCGGAAUCUACUUUUUCGUGGGGGAUAACGUAGGGAAACUUACGCUACUACCUAAUACGACCUACGGGUGAAAGCAGGGGAUCUUCGGACCUUGCGCGAUCGAAUGAGCCGAUGUCGGAUUAGCUAGUUGGGGGGGUAAAGGCCCACCAAGGCGACGAUCCGUAGCUGGUCUGAGAGGAUGAUCAGCCACACUGGAACUGAGACACGGUCCAGACUCCUACGGGAGGCAGCAGUGGGGAAUAUUGGACAAUGGGCGAAAGCCUGAUCCAGCCAUACCGCGUGGGUGAAGAAGGCCUUCGGGUUGUAAAGCCCUUUUGUUGGGAAAGAAAAGCAGCAGGUUAAUACCCCGCUGUUCUGACGGUACCCAAAGAAUAAGCACCGGCUAACUUCGUG
This 492-nucleotide ribosomal RNA is filed under the name uncultured bacterium. Its description in RNAcentral is "partial 16S ribosomal RNA". It matches the Rfam family "Bacterial small subunit ribosomal RNA", at positions 29 to 507 of the family's 1533-position model. The record is from RNAcentral.